Molecule: long non-coding RNA, 2365 nt
Filed under: Gallus gallus (chicken)
Lineage: Eukaryota; Metazoa; Chordata; Aves; Galliformes; Phasianidae
Source: RNAcentral
UUCGGCGCCGCUCUCGUUCGGGCGUUGUGUGGCAGGAGCGCGCAUCGCGGUGCGGCGCCUACGCGCGGGCUGCGGUAACGUGCCGUUACUCCGCUGUGCGCAGCGCUCAAGGAAAGCACAGCGCAGAGAACGCAGCGGUUCCCUGAAAUUGUGCUCUUAGAGAACAAACGUAAAGCAUCAAGCACAAGGACGUCAGUGAAUUAGAAACCUCGGGAAGAGCGCAAGUGCUUUGGUGGCCCCGAGUACAAGAAAGCAGCAUAGAGGAACCGGGUCACGGUUUAAGGACGUCCGUCAGGAGCAGAUCACAAAGAUGAGGGCUGUGGGAUCGUUACUGGGAAGCACUGAGCAAAACAUGCAGCGGCCGUUGGGUGUGAUGCCCUUUGGCUCAGACUGCGGCCAAGAUGGCCAUAGGAACAAACUGCAUGGCCGGGUCGGCUCCUCUUAGCACACGUCCAGGGCAGUUUGCAGGAUGCAUGAAGAGGAGUUUCAUCCAUGGGACGUUCCUACCCCUCCUUCCAUGCUAAUGGAUAUGGAGAGGCCCUGCCUGGCCAGCUUGAGGCGUUUAAAGAGAGAUUCAGCCCAAAGGGAGAAAACAGGGAGCCAGAAUGAUGAGAGGCAGAAAAUGUACAAAGCAAGGCUGGCUGAGCAGCCUGCAGCUGUUUCAGACAUGGAAAAUAAAACUGAGAAAGAGUAUAUGAGAAGAAAACUCUUUUCUUUGCUUAUUGUGAAAAGGACAAUUAGUGCCUGACUACAUCAGCAAGCUCAAGUCGGACAUCGGAGAAAGCUCUCCCAAUAAGUGAAGUUCAGCACUCGAUGGGAUUGCCGGCAGCUCCCAGCACCAGAGGCCCUAAAGCCACUUGGAAACGUUUGUCAAAAGUAGUUGCAUAGGGCUGAACCUAUUGAAAAGCAAACAGAAAAAGCAAAUGGCCUCUUAACAUUAGACAAGGCACAGUUCUUGACUGAUGCAGAGAAAGGCAGAUGGAACGGAGUUCAUGUUUUGCAAACGUUCUGCAUUUAUCCAUGUGUGUCUUUAAUCUCAACUGUGAAUGGAAAAUUGCUUCAAGUUGUACGUGGAUAACCUGAGGCCACUUUCAUCCUGAAUGGCAUCUGUACAGGGACUAAGCACAGGCUGACUCGUUAACUCAGUAUUAGGUCAUUAGGUGGACAUGACUUGUAGUGACCGUAUCUCCAAAACCCACACUUCUCUGCUGUUCAAGACAAACAAAUACAUUACUUCGAAGAGAGAAAAUGAUGGAUCGAACAAUUCAUUUAAAGAUACGGACAUAAACACAUUGCAUAUCAUCAGUGCAAAAUACAAGGUUGAUCCACUAAAGGUGAAUUAUGACUUUUAAUGAAGUGUCCUUUUCCUGUCCCCUUUUUCCACCAGGUACACAAGUAGUGUGCACCACGACAGACAAGUACUUCUAGGAUACAUGCUGUUUGCUUGUGGCUGAACACUAGAUACAGAGAAACUAGGAUGCAUUCUCAUUAUACUGCGUUAGGUCCCAGUUACACAUGCAGCACAACUGCAGUUGUGUUUGACUCUUCUGCUACCACGAGACCUUUUUCAGCUCUACAGGACACACAAAUGGCUAGAAACUGUAAGCAAUUUCCUUGUACAAUUUCUCCCAGGUUUCAUUAAAAAAAAUGCUCAUCUUCGAAAACCCACUGUAACAGAGGGCAAAAAUACUGCUUCAGCUGGAAACUGACUCAAUAAUAUUUGGGUUUUGUCCUUCUGUAGCAACAGCCAUUUGAAUACACAAGAGAGUUGAUAAGUAUCAUCUGGAAAGUCUGGUCUCCCUUACUGUCCCUGGCAGACUUCCUGGAGGCUCUGACUUCUCUCACCUCAUCUAAGAGCAGCACUGAAUAUACAACACACACAUUCACUCAUUCUCCAGUCUUCAUCAGAUAAAGAGAUAAAGAUGUUACGCUCCCAAAUGUGAAGGUCACCUUCCACAUUACUGACACUCUGAAAAAGCACAGCGAUGUAAGGAAAAACAUUAUCCAAGUACAUCCUUCAGCACAAUCUGAGAAAUCAAGUGUGGAAGGUGGGAAUUAUAUGGAACACCAACAGACAGCAAAAUCAAAGUGGCUCUUUUGGAAAGAAAGAGAUGGAGGGAGGUAAACACGACUCAAAUCAAAGAGCUGAAUGAAGUUUCAGGGAAGCCUUCGAUUCACCAUCGAGCCUAGGACUGAUAGGAGUAUCAGGUGUUUUCAACUUUGAUUUACUGCUGUCUUCUAGCAAAGAAAAACUGGACUUAGCAAAAGAAACAGAAGAUGGUUGCUUGACUUUCUUCAGCAAAUUUUCAUCUUCGUACGUACUUCGGAAAAUUUUUGAAGAAACUGGGCUAGUCUCAUGUAUUUU